RNAcentral lists this ribosomal RNA (332 nucleotides) under uncultured bacterium. Its description in RNAcentral is "bacterial SSU rRNA". It matches the Rfam family "Bacterial small subunit ribosomal RNA", at positions 568 to 898 of the family's 1533-position model. The record is from RNAcentral.
UGUGUAGGCUGCUAUGCAAGUCGGAUGUGAAAUCCCCGGGCUCAACCCGGGAAGUGCACCCGAAACUGCGUGGCUUGAGUACCGGAGAGGUUGGUGGAAUUCUCGGUGUAGAGGUGAAAUUCGUAGAUAUCGAGAGGAACACCGGUGGCGAAGGCGGCCAACUGGACGAGUACUGACGCUGAGACACGAAAGCGUGGGGGGCAAACAGGAUUAGAUACCCUGGUAGUCCACGCCGUAAACGAUGGGUGCUAGGUGUCACGGGCUUUGACUCCUGUGGUGCCGUAGCCAAUGCAUUAAGCACCCCGCCUGGGAAGUACGGCCGCAAGGCUAAA